This 464-nucleotide ribosomal RNA is filed under the name uncultured bacterium. RNAcentral's name for it is "partial 16S ribosomal RNA". It matches the Rfam family "Bacterial small subunit ribosomal RNA", at positions 338 to 795 of the family's 1533-position model. The record is from RNAcentral.
CCUACGGGUGGCAGCAGUGGGGAAUAUUGCGCAAUGGGCGAAAGCCUGACGCAGCGACGCCGCGUGAGGGAUGAAGGUCUUCGGAUCGUAAACCUCUGUCAGCAGGGAAGAACGGUCACUGUGCUAAUCAGCAGUGAAUUGACGGUACCUGCAAAGGAAGCAUCGGCUAACUCCGUGCCAGCAGCCGCGGUAAUACGGAGGAUGCGAGCGUUAUCCGGAUUUAUUGGGUUUAAAGGGUGCGUAGGCGGAUUUUUAAGUCAGCGGUAAAAUGUCCGGGCUCAACCCGGGCCGGCCGUUGAAACUGGGGAUCUUGAGUGGGCGAGAAGUAUGCGGAAUGCGUGGUGUAGCGGUGAAAUGCAUAGAUAUCACGCAGAACUCCGAUUGCGAAGGCAGCAUACCGGCGCCCGACUGACGCUGAGGCACGAAAGCGUGGGGAUCGAACAGGAUUAGAUACCCGAGUAGUC